CCUACGGGUGGCAGCAGUGAGGAAUAUUGGUCAAUGGACGAGAGUCUGAACCAGCCAAGUAGCGUGAAGGAUGACUGCCCUAUGGGUUGUAAACUUCUUUUAUAUGGGAAUAAAAUGUUCCAAGUGGGGGAUUUUGUAUGGACCAGAGGAAUAAGGAUCGGCUAAAUACGUGCCAGCAGCCGCGGUAAUAAGGAGGAUCCGAACUUUAUCAGGAUUUAUUGGGUUUAAAGGGAGCGUAGGUGGAUUGUUAAGUCAGUUGUGAAAGUUUGCGGCUCAACCGUAAAAUUGCAGUUGAAACUGGCAGUCUUGAGUACAGUAGAGGUUGGCGGAAUUCGUGGUGUAGCGGUGAAAUGCUUAGAUAUCACGAAGAACUCCGAUUGCGAAGGCAGUUCACUGGACUGCAACUGACACUGAGGCUCGAAAGUGUGGGUAUCAAACAGGAUUAGAUACCCUUGUAGUC
This 460-nucleotide ribosomal RNA is filed under the name uncultured bacterium. Its description in RNAcentral is "partial 16S ribosomal RNA". It matches the Rfam family "Bacterial small subunit ribosomal RNA", at positions 338 to 795 of the family's 1533-position model. The record is from RNAcentral.